CCUACGGGGGGCAGCAGUAGGGAAUAUUGCUCAAUGGGGGCAACCCUGAACCAGCAACGCCGCGUGGAGGAUGAAGGUUUUCGGAUUGUAAACUCCUUUUGUCAGAGAAGAUAAUGCCGGUAUCUCACGAAUAAGCACCGGCUAACUACGUGCCAGCAGCCGCCGUAAUACGGAGGGUGCAAGCGUUACUCGGAGUCACUGGGCGUAAAGAGUGGGCAGGCGGGCUUGUAAGUCAGAUGUGAAAGCCUCUAGAUUAACUACAGAACUGCAUUUGAAACUAUGAGUCUAGAGUGUGGGAGAGGUAGGUGGAAUUCUUGGUGUAGGGGUAAAAUGCGUAGAUAUCAAGAGGAAUACUCAUUGCGAAGGCGACCUACUGGAACAUAACUGACGCUGAUGCGCGAAAGCGUGGGGAGCAAACAGGAUUAGAUACCCUAGUAGUC
This 440-nucleotide ribosomal RNA is filed under the name uncultured bacterium. Its description in RNAcentral is "partial 16S ribosomal RNA". It matches the Rfam family "Bacterial small subunit ribosomal RNA", at positions 338 to 795 of the family's 1533-position model. The record is from RNAcentral.